RNAcentral lists this ribosomal RNA (253 nucleotides) under uncultured bacterium. RNAcentral describes it as "partial 16S ribosomal RNA". It matches the Rfam family "Bacterial small subunit ribosomal RNA", at positions 524 to 776 of the family's 1533-position model. The record is from RNAcentral.
UACGUAGGGUGCAAGCGUUGUCCGGAAUUAUUGGGCGUAAAGAGCUCGUAGGCGGUCUGUCGCGUCUGGUGUGAAAACCCAGGGCUUAACCCUGGGCCUGCAUCCGAUACGGGCAGACUAGAGUGCGGCAGGGGAGAGUGGAAUUCCUGGUGUAGCGGUGAAAUGCGCAGAUAUCGGGAGGAACACCGGUGGCGAAGGCGGCUCUCUGGGCCGUAACUGACGCUGAGGCGCGAAAGCAUGGGGAGCGAACGGG